UGGUCAAUGAUCAAGACGCAAACUUGUCUUGACGAGAUACGAUUACAAAAAAAUCAUCCUCAUAGAAUUACCCCAUGACCC
Molecule: small nucleolar RNA, 81 nt
Filed under: Procavia capensis (Cape rock hyrax)
Lineage: Eukaryota; Metazoa; Chordata; Mammalia; Hyracoidea; Procaviidae
Description: Small nucleolar RNA SNORD115 (ENSPCAG00000020597.1)
Source: RNAcentral